CAGGCCUAACACAUGCAAGUCGAACGCCCCGCAAGGGGAGUGGCAGACGGGUGAGUAACGCGUGGGAAUCUACCCAGAUCUUCGGAACAACUGAGGGAAACUUCAGCUAAUACCGGAUACGCCCUACGGGGGAAAGAUUUAUCGGAUUUGGAUGAGCCCGCGUAAGAUUAGCUAGUUGGUGGGGUAAUGGCCUACCAAGGCGACGAUCAGUAGCUGGUCUGAGAGGAUGAUCAGCCACAUUGGGACUGAGACACGGCCCAAACUCCUACGGGAGGCAGCAGUGGGGAAUAUUGGACAAUGGGCGCAAGCCUGAUCCAGCCAUGCCGCGUGAGUGAUGACGGCCCUAGGGUUGUAAAGCUCUUUUACCUGGGAAGAUAAUGACGGUACCAGGAGAAUAAGCCCCGGCUAACUUCGUGCCAGCAGCCGCGGUAAU
Molecule: ribosomal RNA, 433 nt
Filed under: uncultured bacterium
Lineage: Bacteria
Description: bacterial SSU rRNA
Rfam family: Bacterial small subunit ribosomal RNA
Source: RNAcentral